RNAcentral lists this ribosomal RNA (467 nucleotides) under uncultured bacterium. Its description in RNAcentral is "partial 16S ribosomal RNA". It matches the Rfam family "Bacterial small subunit ribosomal RNA", at positions 28 to 506 of the family's 1533-position model. The record is from RNAcentral.
GACGAACGCUGGCGGCGUGCUUAACACAUGCCAGUCGAACGGAAAGGCCCUGCUUUUGUGGGGUGCUCGAGUGGCGAACGGGUGAGUAACACGUGAGUAACCUGCCCUUGACUUUGGGAUAACUUCAGGAAACUGGGGCUAAUACCGGAUAGGAGCUCCUGCUGCAUGGUGGGGGUUGGAAAGUUUCGGCGGUUGGGGAUGGACUCGCGGCUUAUCAGCUUGUUGGUGGGGUAGUGGCUUACCAAGGCUUUGACGGGUAGCCGGCCUGAGAGGGUGACCGGCCACAUUGGGACUGAGAUACGGCCCAGACUCCUACGGGGGGCAGGAGGGGGGAAUAUUGCACAAUGGGCGGAAGCCUGAUGCAGCAACGCCGGGGGCGGGAGGACGGCCUUCGGGUUGUAAACCGCUUUCGCCUGUGACGAAGCGUGGGUGACGGUAAUGGGUAAAGAAGCACCGGCUAACUACGU